RNAcentral lists this ribosomal RNA (588 nucleotides) under uncultured Actinomycetes bacterium. Its description in RNAcentral is "bacterial SSU rRNA". It matches the Rfam family "Bacterial small subunit ribosomal RNA", at positions 338 to 916 of the family's 1533-position model. Lineage: Bacteria; Bacillati; Actinomycetota; Actinomycetes. The record is from RNAcentral.
CCUACGGGAGGCAGCAGUAGGGAAUCUUGCGCAAUGGGCGAAAGCCUGACGCAGCGACACCGUGUGAAGGAUGAAGGCCUUCGGGUCGUAAACUUCUGUCAAUUGGGGAAGAAGGUAGUAGGGUUAAUACCCCGAAUACUGACGGUACCCAAUAAGGAAGUCUCGGCUAACUCCGUGCCAGCAGCCGCGGUAAGACGGAGGAGGCAAGCGUUGUCCGGAAUCAUUGGGCGUAAAGAGCGCGUAGGCUGUUUUUCAAGUCAUAUGUGAAAACCUCAGGCUUAACUUGAGGACUGCAUAUGAAACUGGGAAACUUGAGUGCAGUAGGGGAAAGUGGAAUUCCUGGUGUAGCGGUGAAAUGCGCAGAUAUCAGGAAGAACACCGGUAGCGAAGGCGGCUUUCUGGGCUGCUACUGACGCUGAGGCGCGAAAGCUAGGGGAGCAAACAGGAUUAGAUACCCUGGUAGUCCUAGCUGUAAACGAUGGACAUUAGGUGUGGGGAGUUAUCGACGCUUUCCGUGCCGGAGCUAACGCAUUAAAUGUCCCGCCUGGGGAGUACGGUCGCAAGACUAAAACUCAAAGGAAUUGACGG